This 292-nucleotide ribosomal RNA is filed under the name uncultured bacterium. Its description in RNAcentral is "partial 16S ribosomal RNA". It matches the Rfam family "Bacterial small subunit ribosomal RNA", at positions 505 to 796 of the family's 1533-position model. The record is from RNAcentral.
GUGUCAGCCGCCGCGGUAAUACAGAGGUCUCAAGCGUUGUUCGGAUUCAUUGGGCGUAAAGGGUGCGUAGGCGGUGGGGCAAGUCAGGUGUGAAAUCCCGGAGCUCAACUCCGGAACUGCACUUGAUACUGCUUUACUAGAGUACUGGAGAGGAGACUGGAAUUUACGGUGUAGCAGUGAAAUGCGUAGAUAUCGUAAGGAAGACCAGUGGCGAAGGCGAGUCUCUGGACAGUUACUGACGCUGAGGCACGAAGGCCAGGGGAGCAAACGGGAUUAGAUACCCCGGUAGUCC